Molecule: ribosomal RNA, 194 nt
Filed under: uncultured bacterium
Lineage: Bacteria
Description: partial 16S ribosomal RNA
Rfam family: Bacterial small subunit ribosomal RNA
Source: RNAcentral
CCUACGGGAGGCAGCAGUGGGGAAUAUUGGACAAUGGGGGCAACCCUGAUCCAGCCAUGCCGCGUGUGUGAAGAAGGCUUUCGGGUUGUAAAGCACUUUCAGUGGGGAGGAAAACCUGGCGAUUAAUACUCGUCAGGCUUGACGUUACCCACAGAAGAAGCACCGGCUAACUCCGUGCCAGCAGCCGCGGUAAU